This 76-nucleotide transfer RNA is filed under the name Candidatus Rhodoluna planktonica. RNAcentral's name for it is "tRNA-Arg". It matches the Rfam family "tRNA". From Rfam's summary of the family: Transfer RNA (tRNA) molecules are approximately 80 nucleotides in length. Their secondary structure includes four short double-helical elements and three loops (D, anti-codon, and T loops). Further hydrogen bonds mediate the characteristic L-shaped molecular structure. tRNAs have two regions of fundamental functional importance: the anti-codon, which is responsible for specific mRNA codon recognition, and the 3' end, to which the tRNAs corresponding amino acid is attached (by aminoacyl-tRNA synthetases). tRNAs cope with the degeneracy of the genetic code in two manners: having more than one tRNA (with a specific anti-codon) for a particular amino acid; and 'wobble' base-pairing, i.e. permitting non-standard base-pairing at the 3rd anti-codon position. Lineage: Bacteria; Bacillati; Actinomycetota; Actinomycetes; Micrococcales; Microbacteriaceae. The record is from RNAcentral.
GCGCUUGUAGCUCAACGGAUAGAGCAUCUGACUACGGAUCAGAAGGUUGGGGGUUCGAGUCCCUCCAAGCGCGCCA